This 374-nucleotide ribosomal RNA is filed under the name uncultured organism. Its description in RNAcentral is "partial 16S ribosomal RNA". It matches the Rfam family "Bacterial small subunit ribosomal RNA", at positions 527 to 896 of the family's 1533-position model. The record is from RNAcentral.
GUAGGUGGCAAGCGUUGUCCGGAAUUAUUGGGCGUAAAGCGCGCGCAGGCGGUUCUUUAAGUCUGAUGUGAAAGCCCACGGCUCAACCGUGGAGGGUCAUUGGAAACUGGAGAACUUGAGUAUAGAAGAGGAAAGCGGAAUUCCACGUGUAGCGGUGAAAUGCGUAGAGAUGUGGAGGAACACCAGUGGCGAAGGCGGCUUUCUGGUCUGUAACUGACGCUGAGGCGCGAAAGCGUGGGGAGCAAACAGGGAUUAGAUACCCUGGUAGUCCACGCUGUAAACGAUGAGUGCUAAGUGUUAGGGGGUUUUCCGCCCCCCUUAGUGCUGCAGCUAACGCAUUAAGCACUCCGCCUGGGAGUACGGCCGCAAGGCUG